RNAcentral lists this ribosomal RNA (641 nucleotides) under Nipponacmea teramachii. Its description in RNAcentral is "partial 16S ribosomal RNA". It matches the Rfam family "Bacterial large subunit ribosomal RNA", at positions 1806 to 2607 of the family's 2925-position model. The record is from RNAcentral. Lineage: Eukaryota; Metazoa; Mollusca; Gastropoda; Lottiidae.
AACAAAAACAUGGCCCUUUGACGAUCAAAUUGGGUCGUACCUGCACAAUGGCCUCCCACAGGGGGUUAAAUUGCCGCGGUACCCUGACCGUGCAAAGGUAGCGAAAUAAUUUGCCUAUUAAUUGUUGGCCAGAUAUGAAUGGUGUGACGCUGGUGGCGCUGUCUCGUUGGCACUUAUUUGAAUUUGACCUCUGGGUGAAAAGGCCCAGAUAAAUCUGAAAGACGAUAAGACCCUAUCGAACUUUAAGUGGACCUGUUUCGGCGUCAGACCCGAAAACGAGCAAGCUUUUGGUUGGGAAAACCGGAGGUAAGAAAAACCACCUCCUCCCUUUGAGACACCCGUUAAUUAUGGGGUAAUAGAGACUUUACCCUAAGGGCAAUUGGCCUGAAGGACAGUAACCGAAUAGAGAACAAAAAGUCCGACAGGACAUAGUUAACUUAUCAAAUGAACCUAAAGACUUGCUGCUUAGCAGCAAGAAUCUAUUAACUAGGAAUAGUUACCGUAGGGAUAACAGCGUAAUCUUCCCGGCGAGACCACAUUAAUGGGAGGGUUUGCGACCUCGAUGUUGGCUUGGGACUUCCUAGAGGCGAAGAGGCUUCUAAGGGUUGGUCUGUUCGACCAUUAAAGUCCUACGUGAUCUG